This 768-nucleotide long non-coding RNA is filed under the name Ficedula albicollis (Collared flycatcher). Its description in RNAcentral is "lncRNA (ENSFALG00000025481.1)". Lineage: Eukaryota; Metazoa; Chordata; Aves; Passeriformes; Muscicapidae. The record is from RNAcentral.
AUGUAAAUCCAACCCGAGAGGAGGGAGCCGGGAGGAUGCGGGUCCCUCCGGCGCGGGGAGAGCGGGACCCGGGCGGCUGGGAGGGACGGGAGAGGGACGGGAGCAGCUGACCUCCAGCACAGGAAAUCCCACCCACACCGCCCAGCCCACUCGGCUGAUGUCAACCAGCCCCUUAAGUGCUCCAAACAGAGACACCUGGAUCAUCUUGUGCUGCAGUGCUGCCAAAAGUCCAAGCAAGGGCCAGACAGUUCUGGGUACAAGCCAGGCCUAGAUGACUAUAAAUGUGUUUCCACUAUGGAAAAGAAGGUUAGCACAGUACAUCUUCAUGACUGGGGAAUGAAUUUUUCUGAAGACACCUUCCAAAUGGCAAAAGCUUAGAAAAAUCAAUGUGAAUAUUGAAUUCAGUUCCAUAUAAAGUCCCUUGUAAAAAAGAAAACAAAAAAACAAAAAACCAAAAAAGCCCAAAACUCAUAAGCCUUUACAGUGUACAGGAAACUCAGUUCUGUCCCCUGAUGCUGUUUUCAAGUUUUUUUAUUCUUUUAUUCACUCUUUAGGAUGACUAUAAAUGUGUUUCCACUAUGGAAAAGAAGGUUAGCACAGUACAUCUUCAUGACUGGGGAAUGAAUUUUUCUGAAGACACCUUCCAAAUGGCAAAAGCUUAGAAAAAUCAAUGUGAAUAUUGAAUUCAGUUCCAUAUAAAGUCCCUUGUAAAAAAGAAAACAAAAAAACAAAAAAACAAAAAAGCCCAAAACAAAACAAAACCAAACC